Molecule: transfer RNA, 69 nt
Filed under: Ictidomys tridecemlineatus (thirteen-lined ground squirrel)
Lineage: Eukaryota; Metazoa; Chordata; Mammalia; Rodentia; Sciuridae
Also listed under: 1 other name
Description: Spermophilus tridecemlineatus (thirteen-lined ground squirrel) tRNA
Rfam family: tRNA
About the family: Transfer RNA (tRNA) molecules are approximately 80 nucleotides in length. Their secondary structure includes four short double-helical elements and three loops (D, anti-codon, and T loops).
Source: Rfam by way of RNAcentral
GGGGUUGUGGCUCAGUGGUAGAGCACUUGCCUAACAUGUGUGAGAUCCUGGGUUUGAUCCUCAGCACCA